CGCUCGGAAAGAGGUGAUGCGACCUCCCCAGAGGAAUGAGCAGUGUGUCAGUACUUCCCAGUCAGCUACACUGGGCUUCUUUCCUUUGGGGGGAGAAUCCAGUUCCAGGUGUUCAGCCAUGGCAAAGGCAGAAGCAGACACUGUCAGCAUGUUUCAGCCCCCUUGACAGCCACUACUGAUGAUUGUAAGUCAUGCUGCUGAAAUGGAUGCAAUUACUCACAUAUUGGCAGGCUCUGUGGGAAGGCAGAACUCUGAAUCACUCCAAGCCAUAACGGGAGGGUGGAAGAAGAAUGGGUAGCUGAAUCAGCUAUAAGACCAGUGACUCAUCAGCAAGCAAAAUUAUGCUAGCAGGUAUAGCAAGGUGAAGCAGGUGCCAGCAAGUGAGAAAGGAGAAACAAAAUGGCUUGAGUUAACAAGUUAGCCAAUAUCUAGAGCUAACAAAAAUAAAAAUCUCUGAGCAAAUAAA
Molecule: long non-coding RNA, 466 nt
Organism: Numida meleagris (helmeted guineafowl)
Lineage: Eukaryota; Metazoa; Chordata; Aves; Galliformes; Numididae
Exons: 4
Source: RefSeq, a predicted model, not a curated record